UCUCCCCGGCCCGGGCGCCCAGGAUGUCUCCGCAGAGGCCCUCAGGGGACCCUGUCGCGGCCCCCCGGCUGGGCCUGUGGGAUGGCGCACACCGGGAGGACCCCGCGACGGCGGCCCCGGUGAGGAGGGUCCUACCCCCAGGCCACAGGCCCCCAUUUCCGAGACAAAGCAGCUUCAAGCCCUAGAUCCCUGACUAUGGACUCUCCCCUCAAACGUAAACGCGGACUCCCCGCUGGUUGUCGAUGUUAGAAAAGAAAAACACGUCUCUCAGAUUCCCACCUGCUCGGCGCACAGCGUCCUUCCCUGGCACAAAUGCUUCCUCUGGAUCUGGCCAAACCCACUGGGCCAUUUACGUGUCUGGGGUCUUAAAAGGCUUCUCACGAGGUGAGAAAGACGCCCCUCAUCAUGUCCCACUGACCCAGCGCCGUCCCCCUGCGGCCCCCGGACCGCUGGCGUCGGCCCUCCCCCCACUUCCCUCCACCGGCUCUGAUCAGCGACCUCCUGGGGGCCCAGCCCGUCGUCCUCCACACACUCAACUUCUCCUUCUAGAAACACUCCUUCCGUGGCUGCUCUGCCUCCAGCUCCAGCCGUGUCUAACAGAACCCUGGUUUCGAGAGCUUGGGUCUACACUGGCAGCGAGCGUAAACGGUUACAGGCCUCACCGCUUCUUUCUGACAUGACCGCUGUGUUAGUAUCAGAGGAAACUGAGGUGACGUAAAGCAAAAUAUUUUAAAACGUACCUGAUUUCUUUCUACACGCCAUUCUCUAAAAACGCCUAAGCAACUAAAGCCAUCGACAUCUUUAAAACGUGCCUUUUCAACCACACUGCAACUUAAGAAUUCCUCGUUCAUAUUAAAGUCACCACCGGCUUUUGCAGGCUGACGUCCUGGGUUCAUUUAAAUGACGAUGCGGGACACGGAACCACCUGUGUGAGAUCCUGCCUCCUAAAUGCCGUCUGCGUGGAAAAUACCGGUUAGUCCAGUGCGCCACCGCAGGCAGGCCUUAGCUGAGAGCAGGUGGGCCACCUCCUUGGGCGGCUGGGCCUGGGCCUGGGGACAGGGGGCGGGACCAGGCCGGUGGGCGCCCCGGAAGGCAGCUUCGGGCCCGCCGCCUGCCUGGGGUCCUUGGUCUCCUGGUCCCACGUGCCUCGACGCUCUGCUCUGCAGCUUUGCAAACUCGAGCGUAAAAACGGUUCGGAGAUCUUAGGUCUUAGUGAAGACAGCAGGGCCCGUUGUGAAAGGGCAAAAAUAAUUGCUACUGAGAACUGCUUCUCAGAAUGUCUGGAGCACAGCACUCGGGCCAAACACCAAACGCAGAACGUAACGACCUCUGCAGAGAAUAACCGAAUGCAAACAUUGAUCCGAACAGGUUUCUUAUUUUCAGGGUUCGCCAGGUCAUCACUCAUUUACUCAUCUCUGCAGACAGACGGAUAGGAUUUUAUUAGUUAUAACAUUUUCGACAGGAGGGGAGGCGGGUGGGGGGAGGGGCUAGAUGGGUGACGGGCGUUAAGGAGGCACCUGUUGGCAUGAGCACCGGGUUUCGUGUGGAAGUGACGAACCACUGGGUUCUCUUCCUGAAGCCAAGACUGCGGAGUAUGUUAACUAACUUGGAUUUAAAUAAAACCUCGGAAGAAAAUAAAUGUUAAUUUUUGAGCUAGAAUAAACCUUAUAAACCAAUCUCUUCCUUUUACCAACAAAGCCCUUGAACCCUCAAGGCGUCAAGGACCGGGCCAAGGUCUCACCUGGUUAACAAUUCAUGUCCGCCUCUCACCUCUGACCUAGUGGAGCUGGAGAGAGCACACAGGGGCUCCAUUUGCCAUCAAAUUGCUCAGAACGUUUCCCAAAACAACAGACUUCAGAGCCGGCUCGUCUAGUCACCCGGGUGCAAGGCUUGCCAUUUCAGAUGCCCUUUUUAAAAAUACUGGAGUCUGCUGACCUUAGCCUCUAAGCAUAAACAGUGUGGGGGGAGUUCCAACACACUGGCCUAUGAAGAAGAAACCUCGCUGCACAGGCUUUAACGUGGCACUUCGACGUGUCCGGGAGCGGCCGUGGGUCAUUCCACAACACGCGCUAUGAUAGGCAGUAUGUCACCGACGAAGCAUUUUCCCAUUACUGUCAAAAUAAUUACAUUUAUGAUAAACCACAACAAAAAACAAACAAAAGCUUUCCGAUUCUUUCCCGGAAUGCCAACAACUAAUGGAAGUGAGCAGCUGAAGAAGAUUCCAGAAAAUGCAAAUGGACCUGAGUGCUCCAGUGCAAUCCUCCUUUUCCAACAACGUGCAGGGGUCACUACAAGCCCCGCGUCAGCAGCGAAACCCGUCAACAAUUUGAGUGUUUUCCUUAAAAUGGAAAAACAGCUCACGGUGCCACCAGCUUUACAAAAUAACACAUCCACGAAGCAUGUUUCUAUUUUUAAUUUUUUUGCUUUGAUAAAUCAGUUGCUUCACAAAAAUCCCCUUUCGAGACAACAAUCCAAGAAAACAUAUUGUUACAGUAUUCACAUUUUAAAGAUUGUCAGUUCGUAGACCGAACACAACUAAAACAAAGGCAGAUUGCUGGGUCACUUCCGUCCCUAACCGCCAGAGGUGGGCCUUGCCCACCGUCCAGGUAGGGUUGAGUUUGUCUAAAAGGCAAGGGCCCCGAGCCGGCUCACACAGGUGAGGGCCGCACAGAAAAGGCCGCCGCGACCCGCAGGUGCGCUCUGGUACCGCCUGCCGCCCCACCGUGCGUCCCGGACAGAGACCGAAACGGACGUCACUACCUGCAGCCAGAAAACGGCAAGCCGGGUCCGGCGGCGGCGGCUCGUCUGGGGACGGCGAAGCCGCGGGACAGGUAACAACACUCUUACUCUGGGUCUGGGGACACAUCCGGAGCGUCCUUCUGGCGCAAAGUCAGGAUCGAAUCUGCUCCGUGAAAAUGAACGCUCGAGGGAGUCCCAUUUUCAAAGGUUCUCUUGAAGGUCCGAGGGCUGGAAGAUGGGGGUUUAUAAAAUGCAAACCGACGACAGGCACGCCGGGCAGCGGUUUUAUGAACCGAAACGGCUUGCCACGCCAAGGUUGUCUCCGAGCACCUCGGUUAUUCGCGGGGAGAGUGGGGGGGGAAGCUGAGGCCUGUCCACGAGCGCCCUGUCUCUGGACGGCUUAUCCUAGUCCUCCGAACCUGGUAAGAACUUCGAGCCUAAGGAAACCGGCUUCAGCCGCAGGGAGCGCGGUGCGUCACCAGGCACGGAAGGCCGAUCUCAGGCCAGCGAGGGCAGCGGGACCCCGCACGGCCCCCGUCUGUCUCCAAACGGGCAGUCUGUGUAGCCCGCGACUAACAGGCUACCGCAGCUCAGUGAACGUGACCCCUGGGGCGGGGGGGGGUUGGGGGGGGGCAGUGACCUGCCUGUGAGUCCACACGCACCCAAAGAGCAGGGCGACUAGAGGGACUGGGGAGGGAGGGAGGUGGCUGGCUGGUGUCCACAGCUCCUAGUUUCAAGAAGUCCAACCAAGUUAGGAUUUAGGUCAAGUUAAAAUGAUCUACGAAACUGAAAAUAUUACAAAUUGUUUCUAAAUAAGGAACGCAACUGUUGCUUAAAAAUGUUGUUCUCGCUCCAAAAGAGUUUAGUCCACUUUUUCUUUUAAAGCUCCUGAAGUAUUUUUCAAAGAAAAUUCUAUGUAUUUCUUACCACCUCCUAAGUUACCUAGGAAAUAAGUCUUCUGUGAUUAACUGUAAUUAACCAAUUUUGCGGGAGUGGGGGGGGGAAUCAGUUCCAGAAAAAAUCUGCCCCAGCUCCAGAUAUCCUGCAAUGUAACCUUGGUCCGUAACUGAUGACGGCUGCUGAAUCUCCAGAACUGGCGACCUUCCCAAACACCAAACCACCUUUUAGAAACACGAACACUGGGCGUCCCCUUUAAGACGACACAAAGGCUUGAUGAGACAAGGUGGCUUGUUUUCCGAGCAAAAGCCCCACUUGCAAAUAAAUGAAAACAAAGGCAACAAAA
Molecule: long non-coding RNA, 3982 nt
Organism: Leopardus geoffroyi (Geoffroy's cat)
Lineage: Eukaryota; Metazoa; Chordata; Mammalia; Carnivora; Felidae
Exons: 2
Source: RefSeq, a predicted model, not a curated record